RNAcentral lists this ribosomal RNA (431 nucleotides) under uncultured bacterium. RNAcentral describes it as "partial 16S ribosomal RNA". It matches the Rfam family "Bacterial small subunit ribosomal RNA", at positions 29 to 507 of the family's 1533-position model. The record is from RNAcentral.
AACGAACGCUGGCGGCAGGCUUAACACAUGCAAGUCGAACGCCCCGCAAGGGGAGUGGCAGACGGGUGAGUAACGCGUAGGAACAUACCCUUUUCUACGGAAUAGCUCUGGGAAACUGGAAUUAAUACCGUAUACGCCCUACGGGGGAAAGAUUUAUCGGGGAAGGAUUGGCCCGCGUUGGAUUAGCUAGUUGGUGGGGUAAAGGCCUACCAAGGCGACGAUCCAUAGCUGGUCUGAGAGGAUGAUCAGCCACAUUGGGACUGAGACACGGCCCAAACUCCUACGGGAGGCAGCAGUGGGGAAUAUUGGACAAUGGGCGCAAGCCUGAUCCAGCCAUGCCGCGUGAGUGAUGAAGGCCUUAGGGUUGUAAAGCUCUUUCACCGAUGAAGAUAAUGACGGUAGUCGGAGAAGAAGCCCCGGCUAACUUCGUG